UUUGUACAUGGAAAGUACAUAUUGUGGUUUACAAUUAUUUUAUGACCUACUCAAUUAUAAUGUUAGUUGUUUUCAGAAAAGUACGGAUUUAAUUCAGGAUGUCUUAUCCAAGACUUUUAUUGAAGGGGGUUGGAGGAACUAGUCCACGGAGGGUGGUGGUGGCAGAACUGCCUUUCAAGAUUGGUAGGGAUAGCGAGGCUGAUCUUGUGAUCAUGGACGUGAACAUCUCAAGGAAGCAUGCCACAAUAACCUUCAACAAAGAAUCCAAUGGGUUCCAGAUCACAAAUUUCAGUAUGAAUGGUGUUAGUGUCAAUGGAAGGGAAGUUCUUUCUUACGAAUCUGUGGAGCUGAGAAAUCAGGA
This is a long non-coding RNA of Eurytemora carolleeae, 361 nucleotides long. RefSeq lists it as uncharacterized. The record is from RefSeq and is a predicted model, not a curated record. NCBI's taxonomy places the organism in Eukaryota, Metazoa, Arthropoda, Copepoda, Calanoida, Temoridae. The transcript is spliced from 4 exons.